UACGUAGGGGGGCAAGCGUUGUCCGGAAUCAUUGGGCGUAAAGAGCGUGUAGGCGGCCCGGUAAGUCCGCUGUGAAAGUCGGGGGGCUCAACCCUCGGAUGCCGGUGGAUACUGUCGGGCUUGAGUACGGAAGAGGCGAGUGGAAUUCCUGGUGUAGCGGUGAAAAUGCGCAGAUAUCAGGAGGAACACCAAUUGCGAAGGCAGCUCGCUGGGACGUUACUGACGCUGGAGACGCGAAAGCGUGGGGAGCAAACAGG
Molecule: ribosomal RNA, 257 nt
Filed under: uncultured bacterium
Lineage: Bacteria
Description: partial 16S ribosomal RNA
Rfam family: Bacterial small subunit ribosomal RNA
Source: RNAcentral